This 317-nucleotide unclassified non-coding RNA is filed under the name fungal sp. RNAcentral describes it as "partial internal transcribed spacer region". The stretch from base 1 to 46 matches the Rfam family "Eukaryotic small subunit ribosomal RNA", at positions 1786 to 1831 of the family's 1831-position model. The record is from RNAcentral. Lineage: Eukaryota; Fungi.
AAGUCGUAACAAGGUUUCCGUAGGUGAACCUGCGGAAGGAUCAUUAACACGUUUUCCAACGUUUUUGACCACUUUCUAUUUUCCGUGCACCCUUUGCGUCCGGCCUCCCAGCCGCCUAUCGAGUUUACUCGGUGUGGCCUGUUGGGCGUCCUGUUUGGGAUCCAAGAAGUUCACUCUUCUCCUGAACGUGGGCGUUGCCACCUCACCCAAACCCUUUAAUCUAAUCUAUCUGAACUUUUAGUUGGUGCAAGAUUUAUUUCUUGAAACAACGAUUUACAAACAAACAACAACUCUUAACAACGGAUAUCUUGGUUCUC